This is a non-coding RNA of Perkinsus marinus ATCC 50983, 80 nucleotides long. The record is from Rfam. NCBI's taxonomy places the organism in Eukaryota, Perkinsozoa, Perkinsida, Perkinsidae.
GACAGUUUGGCCGAGUGGUCUAAGGCGCUGGCUUCAGGCGUCAGUUCGCAAGGGUGUCGGUUUGAUUCCCACAGCUGUCA